AAGUCGUAACAAGGUUUCCGUAGGUGAACCUGCGGAAGGAUCAUUAACACGUAUCCUACGUUAAUCCACCCGUGCACUUUCAUCGAAACCCCGCGGUAACACGAUUGUUCGCGGCAAGGUAAAGCGGAAAUGAUUUCUCGAUGGAGUUAAUCUUGUUAAAAGAGGGAAAUUCCUUUGCCUUGUGAGACUCAGCGGCAGGAACCUAAAGCAAAACAACUGGAAUCCCCUCGUCGGGGACUGGUUGUUGUUGCUGGCGGUAGAAUGCUGUGAGGAAAGCCAGCGGCAGGAACCUAAAGGCAAAGCACUGGUAGUCGUCGGAAACCCGAACAACUGUUAACAAUGGAUAUCUUGGCUCUC
RNAcentral lists this unclassified non-coding RNA (357 nucleotides) under fungal sp. RNAcentral's name for it is "partial internal transcribed spacer region". The stretch from base 1 to 46 matches the Rfam family "Eukaryotic small subunit ribosomal RNA", at positions 1786 to 1831 of the family's 1831-position model. The record is from RNAcentral. Lineage: Eukaryota; Fungi.